GACGAACGCUGGCGGCGUGCCUAAUACAUGCAAGUCGUGCGGACCUUGUUGAAAGCUUGCUUUUAAAAGGUUAGCGGCGGACGGGUGAGUAACACGUGGGCAACCUGCCUGUAAGACUGGGAUAACGCCGGGAAACCGGGGCUAAUACCAGAUCGUUUUUUCCUCCGCAUGGAGGAAAAAGGAAAGGCGGCUUCGGCUGCCACUUACAGAUGGGCCCGCGGCGCAUUAGCUAGUUGGCGGGGUAAUGGCCCACCAAGGCAACGAUGCGUAGCCGACCUGAGAGGGUGAUCGGCCACAUUGGGACGGAGAAACGGCCCAACCUCCUACGGGAGGGAGCAGGAGGGAAUCUUCCGCAAUGGAGGAAAGUCUGACGGGGCAACGCCGCGGGGGGGAAGAAGGCCCUCGGGUCGUAAAACUCUGUUGCCGGGGAAGAAAAAGUGCCGUUCGAACAGGGCGGCGCCUUGACGGUACCCGGCCAGAAAGCCACGGCUAACUACGUG
RNAcentral lists this ribosomal RNA (500 nucleotides) under uncultured bacterium. RNAcentral describes it as "partial 16S ribosomal RNA". It matches the Rfam family "Bacterial small subunit ribosomal RNA", at positions 28 to 507 of the family's 1533-position model. The record is from RNAcentral.